This is a non-coding RNA of Cricetulus griseus (Chinese hamster), 372 nucleotides long. NCBI's taxonomy places the organism in Eukaryota, Metazoa, Chordata, Mammalia, Rodentia, Cricetidae. The record is from RefSeq and is a predicted model, not a curated record.
CGGCUCCUGCUCCAGCAACACGACGUGAUCCACCAGCUAGGAGGGAUGCCAAUAAGCUCAUGCAGUCAUAGCCUCCAGGAAUACAUCACAUAUUAGGAAGACGGGCCCUGAUGGCACAGACCUAUGGUGGUGGACUGCACCUUCAAUGAAGUCAAGCUUUUGAACUACAGAGGGAAAGAAGUACAGAGUACUCUUUUUCUACCCGCUGGACUUCACUUUCAUGUGACCCAUGGAGAUCAUCACUUUUAGGAACUAUGUUGAGGACUUCCACAAGCUGGGCUACAAGGUUCUCGGAGUGUCUGUGGAAUGUCAGUUCAUGAAAGGCUGGCUGUGCAUAAAAGAUAAGACAAAACUAAAAAGCCAUAAAAGAGU